GGGGGGUGACGCCUUGGCAUUUCCUGAGUCAUCCUCACACGGUGAAGCUGUAUCUUGCUCGCUGGUUCGAAGUCUCGCUAUUGUGGGGUUUUUCUUCCAUUCGGCGAAAAACCCGAGCCAGAUACAGUCUCGCCGUUUGAGAUGGCAUUGGGACGGGCGGAGGGAGGUUGCCGUUCGCAGUGACGAUGCUGGGCGUACACGCAGAAAGGGGGAUCCCAAUGUUUCUAAUCUACGCCUUUCAUCGGUUUGGUUUGUAAACUGUAUCGGAACAAAUGCAUUUCCUUUUGCAAAUUUCUUGUAAAAUAAUGCCAUUUGAAAUCAUAAAAAAACCAUUCAAAGAGCGUUUGAUCCAUUGUUUAUUUUUUCAGAAGUACACACCGACUCUUACAUAGAACGUUAUGUAUUUGUAUUGUGUAAUUUUCUAAAAGUUUGUACAGUACAUUUUAGAUACUACACAUAGAUUUAAUGAUAGCUUUCGUUCGAAGGGAUUUGUAUAUCAUGCCAAACGUUAAUUGAACAAUUUUUUUUGUAACCAUUGUGAUACAGCAGAAGAGGAGCCAAAGAAUUAAGAUAAUAAAUGUUGAAAAGAAAAAUUGACAAUUCUUUCUGUAAUCACUUUAAUCAUCACCGUUAUUAAUGCCAAAAAUCCUUUUCAGUCUGGCAUACACCUUACAAAAUUCUAUCACAUGCAAGAGAUCUACGCACGUAAUCAAGCUGGUUGGUCAUCAGCGAGGCUAUUUCGUCUGUCUGUAUGCGAGAGAUCAGGAGUGGUGAGAUGUGGUUAUGGGAUAAGGAAAAAGGGGAAAUCAUGUUUGUUCUUAGAAAUACUCACGUCAAGUUCGCUGGCCGAAUUACGCACAAUGCUGAAGUCAUACACACAAGUCCAAGUAUCUUACAUUCUCCAUGCUUCUCUGUAUUGAGAAUCCAACUGAUCGUCGUCGACUAAGUCUUGAAAAAUCAUCCGGGGCUGCGGUUGAACAUAGGCAAUACCGUGACAAACAGCGCAGCACACUCGAGCAAAUCCUGUUUGGUGAGCUUAAUCCCUUUUAUCCGUUACCUGUGCAAAUAUGUUUUCUCAGGUCCAGAAGGUUUUCCGAUACCAAGUCGUUACGCGAGUGUUCUACUCAUUGACGCGUGUACCAUGCGAGGUCGACUAAACUGGACGCACACCCGAAGAAACCGUAUAUAGCCCCGUUUCAAUUAGGAAUAAGAUUCCUGAGGUAUGGAGUAAUUCGAUGCAUGUCUCUCGAACCUAGAUGAUCCAGAAAGGCCAAGUACUGCAAGUAGCAUCAAUUCAUUUUUAUAAGGGCAUGCAUAUAUAUUUAUAUGAAAAGGGCUCAACAAUUACAUGAUUACGUUGAAUUGAAUAUCGAUAUCACAUUAAGUUGAACAUGAUUUUUCGUCAAUCGGCUACUGGAUAAUUACGUUCACAGAUUUAGUAUUGCUGCAUUAUUCCUCAGAUGCUAGAGCAAGGAAAAAGAUAUCUUCGUAAUAUAACGUUCUAGAUUAACGAACAAAAUAAUUCCUGAUGGGAAAUAUAUAUAAAAAUUGAGCAAACAAAGGAAUAGAAGUAUAUAUAUAUAUAUAUUGAUUCGUACAAAACCGACACAAAAUACCAAGUAUUGUUCCAUCAGUAUAAUUUGAGAUUGAGGGGUAUUUCGAAGUUUCCAAAAUAAUAGAGGAGUAUAUGCGAAUAAAAUUCCAUUAAAUUAUUAAAUAUACGUAAAAAUAUUUAUGGAAUAUUCAUGAAACGGAAUGAUAUGAUAUUUUUAAUUUGAAGGAGGUAUUGUUAUCAGCGAUAAAUCAGGAUAUUGGAAUGCAGGUGGAAGGUACUUAUUAAGGUUACAUCUGUGAUCGACCCCUGUGAGUUGAAGUCCAGCUUAAAGGAGUUCAAUCUCUUUAUAAGUCAUUAGAAAAAACGUGGUAUCAAACGUAUCUUCAUAAAUAUUAUUUUGAAAUGUUGCUUUUUCCAAAGAAAUUGUUCGGGUGUCUUUGUUUUAUACUGCAGGAGUGGCUGGAAAGAUAAAUUGUGGGUGGCGUAUAAGCGACUACAGCCAGGCAAUUGGUUCUGUUGCUGGAGCGCGUCACGUUCAUGUUGGUUGAAGGUAUAUGCUGUAUAUUAAGUAGAAUACUUUGUAGAAAGUGGGUUGGAAUGGCUGGGGGGUGCGGGAGGGAGGGGCGAAGAGAGUACAUGUUAUGUUUCAGCUAGAAAAAUGGGCUAGAGAACACGUUUAAUCAACUGUGCACGCUUCUUGACCUACACACACGUUACGUAUAAAUCCUAACUGGAUCCUGACAUAGUUACUACCGAUAACUGACCGAUGAGAUACUUGAUUUAAGUACAAGCUACGCUUUUAAGUAGAGGCAGUGUGAAAAGAAGGUAACAGCGUAAUUGCAAGCAGUUCAAAUUUGUAAAAAUUGUGCAUAUAUAAGUAGGGGGAAUAUCGGGGAAUUGGGUAUGCAAUCUUGUGUUGUGAGCUACAGGGUUGAUGCUGUUGCUAUCCUUUAACUGCGAUGGAUGAAAUCUGGAAUGGAAUUCGUUAAUAAUGGAUGGAUACACCCAAGCCGGUCGUUUUCUAUGUAGUAGCAGAAAUAUUGAUUCUACAGUUUCAGUACUUUGAAGCAGAUACAGCUAUAUGUACACUGUAAUCAAUAAGCAUGAUACGAUUGUAAGUUUUUUCUGCACUUAAAUUGCAUUCGGCUGUUGAAGGAUUUGGAGAUGUACAACGAAACAUUGAUUAAGGAAUGGAAGAGGAUGAGAAGAGUAUACUCUUGUACAGAAACGUAUUUUCAUUUUGCUUAAAGCAUUAUCUUCGAUAAGAUAUAUUUUAGAUCGACGAGGGGUGAUCCAUUCCAGCAUGAGUAUUUCAUCAAUGGAUUCUUAACAAUACUGUGAAGAUGCUUUUCAUGUGUUAUAAUUUUAAUAGAGUUCACGUGGCUACUUAAUAUGUGUGUGAGAGAGAGAGAGAAGUACCUGGAGAAAUUGGGGAGGGCUGUAAGACAAUCUAUUGAGUUUUCUUCACAGAAAGAUAUUAGCAGUUGACCAUACAUUUGAAACUGAUAAAUUGCAAACGACAGCAUGACGGCAUUAAAGCAUAUGAAGUUACCAAAUUAGGCUUGCUCAAAUGUAUAAAUGACUGAUAAUGUUUUCUGGAGUAUCUUUGGUGGAUUUGAUUUUUGCUUCAGGAAGUGCAAGAAAAUUUCACUCGUCGAGUAAUGAGACUGUACUGAGCUGCUAUUUUAAGGGGCAAUCCCCGUAUACCGAAGUACAUUAUGUAUGUAUAUAUUACUUUAAAGAACAUUAUUUUCAUUACAUUAGGAACAAGAAAUAUGGCAAAUGGGAAAAUUUUCAAAAACUUUAGAUAUAAAGUAUUAAAAGAUGUAUUUGAAAAAGUAAAAUUCAUUAUAUUUGAGAUGCAAAUAUUUAAUAACGAGUUUGUACAGAACGAAGAUAAAAGAUCAAAAUCAACAUCAUUGGGUUUUUGUCGAGUAACUGUAAGUAACAGUUUGAUUAGGAUUCAAUAUUAAUAUUAAUCGUGGUAUUGAAUGUUUUCGAUGAGUGUAAACAUAGUGUUAAUGCUUAUAAUGAUUAGUGCUUUGCUAAAUGUAAAAUUUUUGAAAAUAUUCAGUUUCAAAUGAAGUUAUUGUUUCACUUUAAAGUUCAGUUACACCGUGUUACAAGUGUUGAAAGUUACAAAAUAUGUAUUAAGUUCGUGAUUACGUGGGAAUUGUGAAACGUUGAACAUCAAAAAAUGAUUAAUCCAAAGUCUGCUAUGUAUCAGAUAAUCCAUGAACAUGUUACUAACAGUAUUCAUAGUUCUAGUGAGUGAAAAAAAAGUUCAGUUUUCCUAAGACAAAUCUUUUGAAGAAGAGACUGAAAGAGUAAAUGCAGUUAAUUUGUGAUUUACAGUAGUAGUGUUUUCUUAAUGUUGCAUUAUGCUUUGAUAAUUUACUAAUUUUUAUUCUAGGGUAUUCGUUUGAUAAUUCAGGAUUUUAUAUGAUUUCUGCUUGUGUAAUUUAAUGUAUGAUUGCAGACUUGAUUUACCAUUUUAAUAGAAAUAUAAUAGCGUGAGAUGAGUUAGGACAGGAAAGCUUGCCGCUAAUUGUUUGUUAAGUAGAUAACAUUCGCAAGAAAAUAAGUUAACAUAGAAAAUGAAGCAGUUCGAAGACUGAAGCUAAUGAACGUUUCACGUAAAUAUUCUCACAUGUAUCCAUUAUACAUUUUGAUCUCUGCCAAAACGUGUGGAAAAGACAAUGCAAGUAUAUGCUAUAUGUAAAAUCUCUGGUACCCAGUUCUCGCAAAUUCAUGGGAAUCUAUGCUCAGCAGAUAAGUUAAAACAACGUGACAAUUUAGGAUUUAAUCAUUUAUAUAAAUUAUAUUGUGGUUAUUUCAUGUGGAGUAGUUUGUAAACGUACAUUUUUUUUUCAUGUUCCAUGCUUCCCUUUCGGAAAAGCUAACCAAAUGUUUUAGGAAUCGAUCAUCACGAUCAUAUGAGAAUUCGUACAAACAAGAAAUCUUAAUAUCUGGGAGAAGCAUAACAGCGAUUUAGAUCUCUAUUCAUUGUCUUACGGAAUUUGGUGGUAUUCUGGCUCGUCAUUAGCAGCUGUUAGCAGUUUUCUGGAUUGUCGAAUAACUGGAAAAUCGGAUGAGAUUCGUUGAGUUCGUGGGUUUUCUUCUAUUUUCUGACGAAAAAUCAAAGGCCGGAUUAUGAAAUAUAAAAUGGAGGAAUAAGUUGAAUGCCAAUUUGAUGCUACAACUCGAAAAUUGAAGUCGACUAUAUAUAUCUGGAUUGUUCGUUAUUAUUGUAUUCUAUGAUGGAAAUGCGAGUUCAAAAAGGGGGAAGGCAGUUGAGGAUUUCCACUUGGAUUUUUCAAAGGAUCUGUUGUAUAGGCAUUUUGAGAUAGAGGAAUACAGGAUGCAGAGUUCCAGCAAAAAUGCCUUCCUUUUUAUUUAAAAAAAAUUUAUUUAUAGCAGUAUGAUUUUAAUGAAUUUGAUCAAGAGUUACAUUUUAAUAUUUAAGAAACAGGGAAGAAUUUCAAACGUACUUCAUCUAAUGUUUUCCAACAUCUUUUCUAACUAAAUCUGAAGAAUUGAAAAUUGAAAAAUGGGCAAUUACAUAUGCAGUAUCGAAUGAUAUAACAUAGUCAAACUAGAACUUAUAAAAGAACUCAUUACCAGUAACUGAAACGCCAAGAAUACUGUAGGAAUUUAUGUAAAAAAAGCUUUUUUGAGAUUGGAGUGUAUACUUGUCAGACAUAAAAAGAAAGUAUUAAGUUAGAUUUCAUGAGGUCUAAAAAGUAGGUUACUACCUUGGGCUUCAUUAUAUGAAGAAUAAGCAAGAAACUAUAUGAGACGAAGAAAGUAUCACCAUAAGGACAUCGUAUAGUAGGAAAAGAUACUACCACAAAAUAACGCGCAACGAAGAAGAUGAAGAAAAUAAAAUAACGUGGGAACAGCAUUCGAUAGAAGUAAUAUAGGCAGGAGAAAAGGCUUUUCAGUACGGAGUUUUAUGGAAGACCUAAAUAAAAAAGAUUUUUUUCACCAUGGGUCAUCAUAGAAGUCGGAUAAUUUUGAAUACCGAGACUUCCUGAAAUGUAGACCAAUUUUUAACGUGGGACUUCGUGGGAUAUACAUAGUAAUCAACGCGGGACUUCGUGGGAGGCGCACGGUAAUCAACGUGGGACUUCGUGGGACGUGGACCAGGGGCCAUCAUGGGACUUCAUGAGAAGUGGACCAGGAGGUAGUCAUCGUGGGACUUCAUGGGACGUGGAUCAGUAGUCAUCGUGGGACUUCGUGGGACGUGGACCAAGAGUCAGCGUGGGACUUCGUGGGACGUGGACCGGUAAUCAUCAUGGGACUUCGUGGAACAUGGACCAGGGAUCAUCGUGGAACAUCGUGGAACAUGGACCAGGGAUCAUCGUGGAACAUCGUGGAACAUGGACCAGGGAUCAUCGUGGGACUUCGUGGGACGUGGAUAGUUACCAACAUGGAACAUCGUGGGACUUGAUGGGAUUUGGGAAAGUUUGCUACCAAUCUUCUACGUGGGACUACGUGGGACUUCGCGGGAUUUGAAUACAGUAUCAACGUGGGACUUAAUGGGAUUCAAGGACACCAUCAACGUGGGACUUCGUGGGAUUCGAGGACAGCAUCAACGUGGGGCUUCGUGGGAUUCGAAGAAGAAGAACCAACGCUGAAAUUUCAUUAGGAAGACUAUUCAAAGAAGAUACCAACACUGAAGAUUUGAAGACUUCACAGGAAGAUACAUUUUUCAUCAUCUUUAAAUUUGUGAAACAUUAAAAAAUAUCAACAUGGCAAAAUUCUAUGAGAUCUAGAAAACUAACACACGAUUUUGUAAUGUAUGCAUUAGAAGUUACAAUUGAUAAAUUUGUGACAUACACGACAUUUUAGCAAAAUAUUCCGUACAAUUAUAAAAAACUUUAUGAUAUUUUAAAAACAAAUGUCACAGUGAGUUUUUAAAAAAGGGUAUUGCACAUGUUGAAAUUACGUAAAUUCUAGUAGUAAAAAUGUCAUAAAAUUAUUAAUUUGUAAAUUGACAAACGCAAGAAAAGUAAAAUAAAGAAAACGAUGUACGCUCGUA
Long non-coding RNA from Osmia lignaria (orchard mason bee), 6599 nucleotides. RefSeq lists it as uncharacterized. NCBI's taxonomy places the organism in Eukaryota, Metazoa, Arthropoda, Insecta, Hymenoptera, Megachilidae. The record is from RefSeq and is a predicted model, not a curated record.